Molecule: small nuclear RNA, 104 nt
Filed under: Capra hircus (goat)
Lineage: Eukaryota; Metazoa; Chordata; Mammalia; Artiodactyla; Bovidae
Source: RNAcentral
GUGCUGACUUCGACAGCACAUAUACUAAAAUUGGAACGAUACAGAGAUUAGCGUGGCCCCUGCGCAAGAAUGACAUGCAAAUUCGUGAGGCGUUCCAUAUUUUU